This 443-nucleotide ribosomal RNA is filed under the name uncultured bacterium. RNAcentral's name for it is "partial 16S ribosomal RNA". It matches the Rfam family "Bacterial small subunit ribosomal RNA", at positions 338 to 795 of the family's 1533-position model. The record is from RNAcentral.
CCUACGGGAGGCAGCAGUGGGGAAUAUUGGACAAUGGGGGGAACCCUGAUCCAGCGACGCCGCGUGAGUGAAGAAGUAUUUCGGUAUGUAAAGCUCUAUCAGCAGGGAAGAAAGAAAUGACGGUACCUGACUAAGAAGCCCCGGCUAACUACGUGCCAGCAGCCGCGGUAAUACGUAGGGGGCAAGCGUUAUCCGGAUUUACUGGGUGUAAAGGGGGCGUAGACGGCGAUGCAAGUCUGAAGUGAAAGGCGGGGGCCCAACCCCCGGACUGCUUUGGAAACUGUAUGGCUGGAGUGCAGGAGAGGUAAGUGGAAUUCCUAGUGUAGCGGUGAAAUGCGUAGAUAUUAGGAGGAACACCAGUGGCGAAGGCGGCUUACUGGACUGUAACUGACGUUGAGGCUCGAAAGCGUGGGGAGCAAACAGGAUUAGAUACCCGGGUAGUC